AUUCAGCUGAAUUGUCCCAAAUAGGACAAAACACGUGUCCUAGAU
Molecule: non-coding RNA, 45 nt
Organism: Schistosoma mattheei
Lineage: Eukaryota; Metazoa; Platyhelminthes; Trematoda; Strigeidida; Schistosomatidae
Source: Rfam